RNAcentral lists this ribosomal RNA (450 nucleotides) under uncultured bacterium. RNAcentral's name for it is "bacterial SSU rRNA". It matches the Rfam family "Bacterial small subunit ribosomal RNA", at positions 28 to 458 of the family's 1533-position model. The record is from RNAcentral.
GAUGAACGCUGGCGGCGUGCUUAACACAUGCAAGUCGAACGAAGCACUUUAUUUGAUUUCCUUCGGGAUUGAUUAUUUUGUGACUGAGUGGCGGACGGGUGAGUAACGCGUGGGUAACCUGCCUUGUACAGGGGGAUAACAGUUGGAAACGGCUGCUAAUACCGCAUAAGCGCACAGCAUCGCAUGAUGCAGUGUGAAAAACUCCGGUGGUAUAAGAUGGACCCGCGUUGGAUUAGCUAGUUGGUGAGGUAACGGCCCACCAAGGCGACGAUCCAUAGCCGACCUGAGAGGGUGACCGGCCACAUUGGGACUGAGACACGGCCCAAACUCCUACGGGAGGCAGCAGUGGGGAAUAUUGCACAAUGGGCGAAAGCCUGAUGCAGCGACGCCGCGUGAGCGAAGAAGUAUUUCGGUAUGUAAAGCUCUAUCAGCAGGGAAGAUAAUGACGGU